RNAcentral lists this unclassified non-coding RNA (331 nucleotides) under soil metagenome. Its description in RNAcentral is "partial contains 5.8S ribosomal RNA, internal transcribed spacer 2, and large subunit ribosomal RNA". The stretch from base 1 to 120 matches the Rfam family "5.8S ribosomal RNA", at positions 35 to 154 of the family's 154-position model. The record is from RNAcentral.
GAUGAAGAACGUAGCAAAAUGCGAUAAGUAAUGUGAAUUGCAGAAUUCAGUGAAUCAUCGAAUCUUUGAACGCACAUUGCGCCCGCCAGUAUUCUGGCGGGCAUGCCUGUUCGAGCGUCAUUUCAACCCUCAAGCACAGCUUGGUGUUGGGACUCGCGUUAAUUCGCGUUCCCCAAAUUGAUUGGCGGUCACGUCGAGCUUCAUAGCGUAGUAGUAAAACCCUCGUUACUGGUAAUCGUCGCGGCCACGCCGUUAAACCCCAACUUCUGAAUGUUGACCUCGGAUCAGGUAGGAAUACCCGCUGAACUUAAGCAUAUCAAUAAGCGGAGGA